CAUUACUGAAGAAUGAUAGGGUUGAGCUGACUCUGCGGAGUAUGUGCUUGCACUAUCGCUUUUUCUAUUCUCCCUUGUGAACCCUUUGUAGACUUUUUAUGAUAUUGACUUCGGUCAUUUGAGACUCGCAUCUCUGAUGCUUGAUUCUACUCUUAUCAUAUUAGUCUAUGAUUUUACAUAUCUACUCUUCAGUUUAUGAAUGUCUCUUUGUUGGUUUUUGAAUACCAAUAAAUUGUUUGUACAACUUUCAGCAACGGAUCUCUUGGCUCUCGCAUCGAUGAAGAACGCAGCGAAAUGCGAUAAGUAAUGUGAAUUGCAGAAUUCAGUGAAUCAUCGAAUCUUUGAACGCACCUUGCACUCCUUGGUAUUCCGAGGAGUAUGCCUGUUUGAGUGUCAUUAAAUUCUCAAACUUUUUCCUUGUUAAUCUUGGAGACAGUUUGGAUAUGAGAGUUGCUGGUUUUCUUAAAUCAGCUCUCUUUAAAUGCAUUAGUAGUUUUGGCUUUGUUCCACAUUCUCAAUUGAUGUGAUAGUUAUCUACAUCAUUAGAGUUUGAAUCUGCUUAUAACUGUCUUUAUUGACAAACCUUUUUUGACAAUUUGACCUCAAAUCAGGUAGGACUACCCGCUGAACUUAAGCAUAUCAAUAAGCGGAGGAAAAGAAACUAACAAGGAUUCCCCUAGUAACUGCGAGUGAAGCGGGAAAAGCUCAAAUUUGAAAUCUGGCAGUUCUUGUAGCUGUCCGAGUUGUAAUUUAGAGAAGUGUUGCCCGCGCUGGACCGUAUAUAAGUCCUUUGGAAUGAGGCGUCAUAGAGGGUGAGAAUCCCGUCUUUGAUACGGACUACCAGUGCUUUGUGGUAUGCUCUCAAAGAGUCGAGUUGUUUGGGAAUGCAGCUCAAAAUGGGUGGUAAAUUCCAUCUAAAGCUAAAUAUAGGCGAGAGACCGAUAGCGAACAAGUACCGUGAGGGAAAGAUGAAAAGAACUUUGGAAAGAGAGUUAAACNGUACGUGAAAUUGCUGAAAGGGAAACGCUUGAAGUCAGUCGCAUUGGUUGAGAAUCAGCCUUGCUUUUGCUUGGUGUACUUCUUAGCUGAUG
Molecule: ribosomal RNA, 1091 nt
Filed under: uncultured Tricholomataceae
Lineage: Eukaryota; Fungi; Basidiomycota; Agaricomycetes; Agaricales; Tricholomataceae
Description: eukaryotic LSU rRNA
Rfam family: Eukaryotic large subunit ribosomal RNA (bases 598-1091)
Source: RNAcentral